CGUGUAGGCGGUCUGAUUAGCCUGAUGUGAAAGCCCUGGGCUCAACCCAGGAAGUGCAUUGGAUACUGUCAGACUUGAAUACGGGAGAGGGUAGUGGAAUUCCUAGUGUAGGAGUGAAAUCCGUAGAUAUUAGGAGGAACACCGGUGGCGAAGGCGGCUACCUGGACCGAUAUUGACGCUGAGACGCGAAAGCGUGGGUAGCAAACA
Molecule: ribosomal RNA, 207 nt
Filed under: uncultured bacterium
Lineage: Bacteria
Description: partial 16S ribosomal RNA
Rfam family: Bacterial small subunit ribosomal RNA
Source: RNAcentral